GACAGAGGGUGCAAACGUUGUUCGGAAUUACUGGGCGUAAAGCGUGUGUAGGCGGCCACGUAAGUCGGAUGUGAAAGCCCCAGGCUCAACCUGGGAAGUGCACUCGAUACUGCGUGGCUUGAGUAUCGGAGAGGUUGGUGGAAUUCUCGGUGUAGAGGUGAAAUUCGUAGAUAUCGAGAGGAGCACCGGUGGCGAAGGCGGCCAACUGGACGAAUACUGACGCUGAGACACGAAAGCGUGGGGAGCAAACAGG
This 253-nucleotide ribosomal RNA is filed under the name uncultured bacterium. RNAcentral's name for it is "partial 16S ribosomal RNA". It matches the Rfam family "Bacterial small subunit ribosomal RNA", at positions 524 to 776 of the family's 1533-position model. The record is from RNAcentral.